Octopus bimaculoides (California two-spot octopus) is the source of this 3763-nucleotide long non-coding RNA. The record is from RefSeq and is a predicted model, not a curated record. Lineage: Eukaryota; Metazoa; Mollusca; Cephalopoda; Octopoda; Octopodidae.
UUUAUUUUUCUCUCUUUUUUAUUUUUCGAGAUCUAGUCAAUCUGAAAUUUUUACUGAGAAAAAGUAUUAUGUCAUUUCUUCGACUAGUUUAUUUUUUAUGUGAACAGAAAAUUCUUGUUCGCCGCCUAUAAGAGAGAAAAAUCUCUUUUGUAACACGAGUAGAUUAUUAGUUGUAGCGGUGAAGUAUUUUUGUCGUAGUAGUCAAAUUUCAGCGACAACAGUAUUCUUUAACCCCCAGUCAAAAGCAGACCUGCUAGGAUCUUCCGGUCUAAUUUUACCCCACUUUUUUUGUGUUGCCGUCGACAUUAUUUAAGGAUUAAGUACUUGUAAGCAAGUCGUGAGAUGGUAAUGAGGUUCCUUCGUUUGCUAGGAAUAAAAAUAAUGCAAUGCAAUUUAACGGUCGGUUGUGUGAGGUUUUUUUUUUUAACAACUUUACAAAGGUACCGACAAACAGAAAUUGUCAUUGAAAAAGUCACAAUUAUAGCUAGGUAAAAAGGUUGCAUUUCUUUUAAAUGUUACAAGCGGUAUUAUAAGUGAUUUAUUAACUAAAAAUCCUUUCUACUAAUAAGCACAAGACUCGAAAUUUUGUCGAGGUAUAAUGCUACAGUUUAUAUAAUAUCCAUUACGUGUGUGUGAAAACAAUUCCCGUUCUGUACAAUAAAACACUGAAACAAAUUAAUCAUUUUUUAUCUUGUACAGUAGCUAUAAAUGGCACCGCAGAACAGUGCCCUUUCAAUAUUUCAUAUCCUGUAAGGCGGUGAGCUGGCGGAAUUGUUAGCAUGCCGAGCAAAAUGCUUAGAAGUAUUUCGUCCGUCAAUAUGCUGAGUUCAAAUUCCGCCGAGCUCGAUAAAAUAAAGUACCAAUUGAGCACUAGGGGAUAGUUAAUCGACUUACAGCUCCCCCAAACUUGCUGCCCCUAUACCAACAUUUAACACUAAUAUUUCAUAUUCUGUCCUCGCCACAAUGAAAAAUAGAAAUAGAGCUAACUUGUGGCGAAUGUCGAAAUAAGUAGAUUAAGGGUCUAAGUACAGGAACAUGGUUUCCGUUUCGAUAAAUUAUAGCGCUAAUGUCAUUGGGGGAAAAAAUGAACUUCCUUUUUCCCUUUUGCAAAAAGUGUUAAAAAAAAAAAAGAAUACCAUUAGUAGGAGUAAUUUCGAUAUUAGCAAACGCAAAACUUUUUUUCUAAAAAUGGGACAACACUUCGUAACAAAUUUACAAAUGCCGAAAAAAAAAAAUGAAAAGCUUUGAAAAAAAGCUAUCAGAUAAUAGAUAAUUCCGUCACUUUGGCUCAACAAGAUAGAAAGAAACUAAAAGAAGUAUGUUGCAUUAGUUGAAGAGUUUCAAUCGUUUUAUCAAGCUUGCGAAGGGAAGGUAGUAACAAUAAUCACUGAGGAUGUUAACACCCGCUUGCAAACAUGGCGCUUUAUAAAACAGACACUCCUUCGUAUACCACCAAUAGUUGUGUUGAACUGUUUACUUUAGCUAUAGUAGCAACUUAGUCAUAGUCAUUUCCCUUCAUGUUUUUCAGAGCGUUGAUAUUUUUCAUCCUUAAAUAUAUUGUAGUAAUUUUCAUUCGCCCUCACUUCCGUGUACUAACAGAACAAUUUUGUACACAUACGCACACAUAUACACGAACAUACACGAACAUAAUAACCCAUUUAUAGAUAAGCACACGGACGUACAGCUUUCUCCACCUCUUUCUCCUAAGUUAAUUUCUUAGUUUUUCGACAUAUUUCGUUGUCUCCUGCCUGCUACAGUAAUAAACAUUGGAGUUUUAAGCAUACGAGAGAAAAAGAAAAUAAUUGGCCUGGUUGUUGUAUGGUGACUUAGUGUAUAUAUGCCUCAGAAUAACCUAUUGGAACUAUGGCACGGACAAGCAUUUCUCAGGACGUUCAAGACUUGCAAGUCGCCUCUUCCAAAGUUCACUUGUCCGUGACGAAAAAUACUUCUCCAGUACUGUUCUGACCUCGUCUACAGAAUAUUUUUUCUGCCCAAAUGAUUUUGAAGACUGCAGAAUAAAUGAUAAUCAGAUGGGGCAAUGUCCGGCGAAUAUGGUGGGUGUGGCAUCGUUUCUCAUUCAAACUGCUCCAGCCUUUGGAAUGUCAUCAUUGCUGUAUAUGGUUAAGCAUUAUCCUAAUGGAAGAACUCUUUUCGUCUUGGAACCAAAGAUGGUCGUUUUUCUUCUAGCGCUGGUGUCAAUGAAUGGUUGAAUGACCAAAUCCAAGCUUCUCUGCUAGUUCCUCAACAAUUAUGAUGGAAUGUUGUUCCACUAGGGUUUGCAGGAUAUCCUCGUUGAGCUCUAAAGAUCUGGGAUGAGUUACGUCUUCUGGGCUGUAGUUUCCGGCUUAGAAUUUCUGGAACCACCGUUGACAUUGGCUUACACUUAUUGUCCAAUCCCCAUAUACUGCAUUAAUAUUGCUCGCACUUUUCGUUGCGUUGUUGCCUUUAUUGAACUCUUGAUUUAAAAUAUCCCAAAUAUUUUCCUUUGUCACUUCCAUUAUAGCUUUGAAAAAAAUAACCUUUUAAUUUAAAUUAACUCUUCAAAACUUGCACUAAGAAUAAAGACAAGGUAAAAUUAAUAUUUGCUUUUAUAGCAAGUUGAUGCAGGUAGUUUAUCCCAUCCCCCUUAGUGGUAUGCAAUUGAAAAAAAACGCAUUAUUCAUGGGAUGACCCAAUAUAUAAUAUGUAUGGUAUAUAUAUAUAUAUGUAUGAACAUGUAUAUAUAAGCAUUAUAUAUAUGUAUAUAUAUAUUAUCUGUAGUGAAGCUACUUCUAUCACAGUUAUAAAUAGUAACAAAGGUGAGCGUAGCAGAAAGUAGCUUGCUGUGUCCAUCACCUGACUGACUAUUAUUUCGGCGGCAUUUGCCUCAUACCGUUUCCCGCCAGGAUGCAAACUGACCAACCACAGCCUCUAAUAAGGUCACGUGAUAGUGUUUUUCUAAUGCUUCUCUGGAGCCCACCUUUAUCUAUAAAUAGCCUGCUAGAUACCCGCCAAUUCGUCGCGGCUCAGAUCUUCUGAGAUCUGGUCGCUGACCACACGCACGUAACACAGCCAGCCAGUUUCCAGCGACGACAUCAACAGCUUCGUCCAACUACGACUACCAGCAUCGUCCCCAACAGCGUCAACACGACUCUACGUACACAAGCUACCAACAGCUAACCAAACUACCGCAGCUUCUCACCCUGUUUGUGUGAUUUCUUCACCACGGAAAUAACAGCCAGAAUUCAGCCUGCGAAGAACAUCUGUAUUCAAGAACCCGACCCGGCAUUGAAGCCCCAACAUCACGACGAGUGACCGCUCUGCCUCAACGCCUUAACUUCUCACAUACAGAUUACCAAUACUACUGUGUACUCUAACUAAGAACUGGUAUAUUUCCUUAUCCGUGUUACUGACUCUAAUCUAUACUCUGUAACUCUUACAUACACAUACACUCUUUUGUUUUACAUGACGGCCAGUCUUAUAUUGUGUUUUAUUAUGUCGCGUUCACACACACACACACACAGACAUACAGUUUAAUGCUCCAAUAAAUCAAUACUGGCAAAUUUCUUAGUUCUCUAUGUUAUAGUAUUAUAACAUAUAUCACUAUAUUUUGUGUCGACCGUGUGACGCGUUUAAAAAAGGAGCCUGUUUUCCAUUCGUCACCAUUUCUCCUUUUGGUUCGCACGGUCGUUCUUACAUAUCCAUAUUCAAUUAAUAGAAGAAACUGGAGAGAUAAUGGUUAAUAAUUAUUUAUUAAUAAAUUGAUAAUCAUUAAUUCCUACAA